GUUUUUUUUCGUAUUCCUGUGAUUAUUGGCAAACAAUUAGGCAUGUUUCUUUUAGCAUUGCCUUUUGUAAUAAUUGUUGUCAUAAAUUGUGAAGAUGGGAGCAACAUUUAGAGAUAUAUCUACACUUUUUUAGUUUUUUAGUACAUGCUAAUGUAGCACGCAGAUGUGAAGUUGGUUCUACUUGUGGAUACUAGUGUUUAUACAAAUAAGGUGAAGAAGAUGUUGGUUCAAUAGUCAGUAGUUAGGCAGUCCAAAGGUGUGACUAAUGCAUCUUUUUAAUGCUCCCUGGCACAACAGUAGCCCCUUGCCAUGCUUUGGGGAACCUUUAAAAAGUCACUGAUAUACUGUUUCAGAGUCCUUACAAGUCAGAAAUUAUUAAAAAAUGAAAUGAGUGCCAAUGAGCUUUAAAGAUUGCCAAGGGAUUAUUUCUCACAACAGCUGUUCUUAUUCUUUCUCUUGAGGGAUACACAAGGGAGGCUGAAACAGUCCCUAAAUGUAGAGCAACUGAGUGAUGGAUUCCUGCUUUACUUCCUUUGUGUUUUACUAACCACCUCACUAUGAGGGGUUUUUUAUUUUUAUUUUUUGUGUAUAUCAAAGUUAAUGAGUUAACAAAGUUAAUGUUUAGGGCAUUCAAUUCUAAGAUGUUUUGUUUAUUAGAACUCUACAGUAUGUGAUGGGAUAGAAGAUCAUAGAUGGCAAGUGUACUUGUGGCCAAACAUUUUUUGCCAAGAACGUAGCACACAAAAUGUAAAAGUGUGGGUAGACAUUAGGCACUGUUUCCAUUGGACAGAGUAUCUACUUGUGGCAGUGGUUAAGAAGAAGAAAUUCUAAAGUGGUUACUAAGAAGAUAUAAUGAGCCUCUGUCUUCAGUGAACAUGAGUUACACGAUACCUGCUCUGUAAUCUUCUGUCUUAUUAAGGCAAAACUCAAAUAUAGCACCAGGCUUGUGUUGUUGCUCAAGCCAAAUACCACAUGCUCAAGAGGCUUAUUGUGUUUUUAUGUCCUUUGAUCUCCAUCUGUCAGUUUCUUCAUUUGUCAAGCAGAAACAACUGGGCUUAGGAUAACAAACCAAGGUGAGUGUUGAGUAACAUUCCAGUCUACAAGCUGGGCACAAAGAGCAUGGAUAUAUAUUUAAAGUAACAGUAGCAUCUAUGUUAACAAUGUUAACAGAGGCAUGUUCGAAUCUAUCCCACCACGCAUUGGACAGAAGGCAGGGAAACACCCUGGACAGUUCAUCUUAACCCUUUUAACAUGUGUACACAGGAAGAAGAAGAAGAAAGGAGACCUGAGUUGGAACAUCUGCUAAUCCAUGUGACCUGACAGAAACAUCAAAGAAGUUUGAGAGAUAGCUGAAGGUAUAACACUAACUGUUGUAAAAC
Molecule: long non-coding RNA, 1379 nt
Organism: Siniperca chuatsi (mandarin fish)
Lineage: Eukaryota; Metazoa; Chordata; Actinopteri; Centrarchiformes; Sinipercidae
Exons: 3
Source: RefSeq, a predicted model, not a curated record